GAGGCCGUAGCUCAGUUGGUUAGAGCAACGUAAUAUGCUUUAUUAAAUUUUAACCCUGAUGGGUGUGAUGAUAAAGUUACUUCGCUUCGUAAGCCGUGUGUCGCCGGUUCGAGUCCGGCCGGCCUUC
Molecule: transfer RNA, 127 nt
Filed under: Chryseobacterium sp.
Lineage: Bacteria; Pseudomonadati; Bacteroidota; Flavobacteriia; Flavobacteriales; Weeksellaceae
Description: tRNA-OTHER
Rfam family: tRNA
About the family: Transfer RNA (tRNA) molecules are approximately 80 nucleotides in length. Their secondary structure includes four short double-helical elements and three loops (D, anti-codon, and T loops).
Source: RNAcentral